Molecule: ribosomal RNA, 305 nt
Filed under: uncultured bacterium
Lineage: Bacteria
Description: partial 16S ribosomal RNA
Rfam family: Bacterial small subunit ribosomal RNA
Source: RNAcentral
ACAGCAGUAGCCACGGUAAUACGUAGGGUGCAAGCGUUAAUCGGAAUUACUGGGCGUAAAGCGUGCGCAGGCGGUUAUAUAAGACAGAUGUGAAAUCCCCGGGCUCAACCUGGGAACUGCAUUUGUGACUGUAUAGCUAGAGUACGGCAGAGGGGGAUGGAAUUCCGCGUGUAGCAGUGAAAUGCGUAGAUAUGCGGAGGAACACCGAUGGCGAAGGCAAUCCCCUGGGCCUGUACUGACGCUCAUGCACGAAAGCGUGGGGAGCAAACAGGAUUAGAUACCCCCGUAGUCCCUGUCUCUUAUAC